This 497-nucleotide ribosomal RNA is filed under the name uncultured bacterium. RNAcentral describes it as "partial 16S ribosomal RNA". It matches the Rfam family "Bacterial small subunit ribosomal RNA", at positions 28 to 507 of the family's 1533-position model. The record is from RNAcentral.
GACGAACGCUGGCGGCGUGCCUAAUACAUGCAAGUUGAGCGCUGAAGGUUGGUACUUGUACCGACUGGAUGAGCAGCGAACGGGUGAGUAACGCGUGGGGAAUCUGCCUUUGAGCGGGGGACAACAUUUGGAAACGAAUGCUAAUACCGCAUAAAAACUUUAAACACAAGUUUUAAGUUUGAAAGAUGCAAUUGCAUCACUCAAAGAUGAUCCCGCGUUGUAUUAGCUAGUUGGUGAGGUAAAGGCUCACCAAGGCGAUGAUACAUAGCCGACCUGAGAGGGUGGUCGGCCACAAUGGGACUGAGACAAGGCCCAAACUCCUACGGGAGGCAGCAGUAGGGAAUCUUCGGCAAUGGACGAAAGUCUGACCGAGCAACGCCGCGUGAGUGAAGAAGGUUUUCGGAUCGUAAAACUCUGUUGGUAGAGAAGAACGUUGGUGAGAGUGGAAAGCUCAUCAAGUGACGGUAACUACCUAGAAAGGGACGGCUAACUACGUG